GACGAACGCUGGCGGCGUGCUUAACACAUGCCAGUCGAACGGAAAGGCCUGUCCUUCCUUGUGUUGGACGGGUACUCGAGUGGCGAACGGGUGAGUAACACGUGAGUGAUCUGCCCCCAACUUGGGUAUAAGCCUGGGAAACUGGGUCUAAUUCCCGAUAGGACUGCAGGGUGGUGCCUGUGGUGGAAAACGAUUUUCUAGUGGUUGGGGAUGAGCUCGCGGCCUAUCAGCUUGUUGGUGGGGUGAUGGCCUACCAAGGCGGCGACGGGUAGCCGGCCUGAGAGGGUGGACGGCCACAUUGGGACUGAGAUACGGCCCAGACUCCUACGGGAGGCAGCAGUGGGGAAUAUUGCACAAUGGGCGGAAGCCUGAUGCAGCGACGCCGCGUGGGGGAUGACGGCCUUCGGGUUGUAAACUCCUUUCGACCGCGAGGAAGCCGCCUGGUUGGAAGGGUGGUGACGGUAGUGGUAGAAGAAGCACCGGCUAACUACGUG
RNAcentral lists this ribosomal RNA (494 nucleotides) under uncultured bacterium. RNAcentral describes it as "partial 16S ribosomal RNA". It matches the Rfam family "Bacterial small subunit ribosomal RNA", at positions 28 to 507 of the family's 1533-position model. The record is from RNAcentral.